RNAcentral lists this ribosomal RNA (259 nucleotides) under Coccolithus braarudii. RNAcentral's name for it is "partial Bacterial large subunit ribosomal RNA". It matches the Rfam family "Bacterial large subunit ribosomal RNA", at positions 2082 to 2339 of the family's 2925-position model. The record is from RNAcentral. Lineage: Eukaryota; Haptophyta; Coccolithales; Coccolithaceae.
GGAAAGACCCCGUGAACCUUUACUGUACUCUGAUAUGGGCCCUUGAUUUGUCAUAUGUAGGAUAACCGGGAGACUUUGACGGCAAGCCGCUAGGUUUGCAAGAGUCAUCCUUGAAAUACCGGUUUUGGCAAAUUGAGGAUCUAACGAAGCUCUGUGAAUCCAGAGUUCGGACAGUGUCAGACGGGCAGUUUUACUGGGGCGGUAUCCUCCUAAAGAGUAACGGAGGAGCACGAAGGUACCCUCAGCAUUGUCGGAAAUC